UUGUAUCUAUUGUAAAAGAUUGUUAGAGAGAACAAAAGCGUGUUAAGUGUUAAAAGAUUGUUCCAAUUUGCAAGUUUUUACAGGAAAACUGGAUCCAAAAGUGUUCCGGAAAUUUUUUUAUUUAAGUGAUCCGGUUUGUGACUUUGAACAAAGGUAGGGGUGAAGUCAAAUAAUAAAAGGGUAAAAUAGGAAUAUUAAAUUAUUUGUAGGGGUACAAGGUUAAAUGUAGGGGUAGAAAAAAAAAUUCUCACAUUUGGUGUGGUUAUCCAACAAAAAAUAAAAAAUAUUUGUUGUGGACUUGUGGUUAUUAAAUAUGAUAAUUGCUUUUGUCAAAAAAAAUAAUAAAAUGAUAAUUGCUCUUCUC
RNAcentral lists this long non-coding RNA (364 nucleotides) under Trifolium pratense (red clover). RNAcentral describes it as "long non-coding RNA (TPRA_LNC009731)". The record is from RNAcentral. Lineage: Eukaryota; Viridiplantae; Streptophyta; Magnoliopsida; Fabales; Fabaceae.